GCAAAACCGAUGAGAAAGAGUAGUAAGCUUAUCAACAAAAUUCCAGAGAGCUGCAGGUGGUGUGAUUGCAGUAUUGAGUGAUUUGCCGAAUGGACUUUCGAGGGCAGUCUGAAAUAGAGAUAGUGGAGUGAUCCGGUAUUAAAAGAGUAGGCACUGUCGGGAACCGAACCCGUUAUCAAUCAGGAGUGUAUGAUAGUACAUGCGAAAGUGGACAUUAUGUUAAUUUGAGUGGUACCGCGAUAAUAAUACGAUAUUAUUACCGUCUCAAGC
Molecule: non-coding RNA, 270 nt
Filed under: Robinsoniella sp.
Lineage: Bacteria; Bacillati; Bacillota; Clostridia; Lachnospirales; Lachnospiraceae
Description: T-box sequence
Rfam family: T-box leader
About the family: Uncharged tRNA acts as the effector for transcription antitermination of genes in the T-box leader family. T-boxes are found upstream of many aminoacyl-tRNA synthetase genes and some amino acid biosynthetic genes usually in Gram-positive bacteria.
Source: RNAcentral